This 314-nucleotide ribosomal RNA is filed under the name uncultured bacterium. Its description in RNAcentral is "partial 16S ribosomal RNA". It matches the Rfam family "Bacterial small subunit ribosomal RNA", at positions 495 to 807 of the family's 1533-position model. The record is from RNAcentral.
GUAUAAGAGACAGCAGCAGCCACGGUAAUACGGAGGAUCCGAGCGUUAUCCGGAAUUAUUGGGUUUAAAGGGUGCGUAGGCGGAUAGAUAAGUCAGUGGUGAAAGACGGUGGCUCAACCAUCGCAGUGCCGUUGAUACUGUUUAUCUUGAAUAUGGAUGAGGUAGGCGGAAUGUGGCAAGUAGCGGUGAAAUGCAUAGAUAUGCCACAGAACACCGAUUGCGAAGGCAGCUUACCAAGGCAAAAUUGACGCUGAGGCACGAAAGCGUGGGGAUCGAACAGGAUUAGAUACCCCAGUAGUCCCUGUCUCUUAUAC